GCACAUAUUUAAAUGGUCCCAUCUCAAUAAUUCAGCUUUCAGUAAUCAAAUUAUUUUCCUUUAUCAUUCAGUUCCUUAUUAUUAACAGAAUUAUAUUUUCACAGCCAUGAAAUUUGAGCACUAGCUACCGUUUUCAGUCCCUUAAUUGCUGGUCUUGAAGCUAACGGACAAAUGGUUAAGGAGAAAACUAGGUUAGGCAGACAACCAAAUAUAACAUCAAAUCCAUAAUGAACAAGAAGCAAAAGAACUACUUAAUACAUGUAGUCUCUCUUACAGUGUUAAAGCACACACCAAAGUACUAAGGUAAGAAGAAAAUUUGCUUGGUUGCGCAAAAGACACAGAAAAAGAAAUAAAGUCUUGGGAUAUUCUAACAUGAAACUGUAGAGUUUUAUUUUCAUUCUAGUUUUUCCUCCAUAUUCUUGGCAACCAAACAAGGAAACCAAAGAAGAAAGACGAAAAGGCGAGAUGUAAUUGAAAGCCAAGCAUCAGACUUGCCUAGAGGUUGGAUUUCCUCAAAUGAAGUCACCUUCCAAGUUAUGGAUCUUCAGGCCACAGCUUCAAGCCUAAUUCAGUAUACCAUGGAGCAAUAUUCUCCUUAAACAUGGAUGAAAGGUGACAUCUUAGUGAUCUUCUUCUCAUCUUCAAGAGUUCCAUCUUCUUCUUCCUUCUUCAACUCUUAAGAUGACCAAGAACCCAAGCAGUCCUAUAAUAUAAAAGAAAAAAGAAAGAAAGAAAAUUUAGUCAAGAAAAAGAAGAAGAGGAUAUUAUUUUUACCAUUGAUUUUGAAGGUGCUGGGUAUAUGUAUAUAUAUAUAUAGAGAGAGAGANNNGAGAGAGAGAGGAGAGUAAAUAGACAAAAGAUAGAGAAGUUCUUAGUUCUUGGUACUGAAGAUGGAGGAGACAACAAGUGAUCCUAUUGAGAAAUAAUGUACAUGUGUGAGGGUCUACUUCACAUGUUUGUAUGUUGCUGUAAUGGUGAUGAGAAAAAUAAAAAUAAAAAUAAAAGAUAAG
RNAcentral lists this long non-coding RNA (1010 nucleotides) under Manihot esculenta (cassava). RNAcentral describes it as "long non-coding RNA (MESC_LNC005029)". Lineage: Eukaryota; Viridiplantae; Streptophyta; Magnoliopsida; Malpighiales; Euphorbiaceae. The record is from RNAcentral.